GGAUCAGGUAGGGAUACCCGCUGAACUUAAGCAUAUCAAUAAGCCGGAGGAA
Molecule: ribosomal RNA, 52 nt
Filed under: Paracoccidioides lobogeorgii
Lineage: Eukaryota; Fungi; Ascomycota; Eurotiomycetes; Onygenales; Ajellomycetaceae
Description: Lacazia loboi partial 28S ribosomal RNA
Source: RNAcentral